UCCUGGCUCAGGAUGAACGGCUGGCGGCGUGCCUAACACAUGCAAGUCGAACGAAGCACUGCGGAUGGAGAUUCGUCAAAAUCUGCUUGACUUAGUGGCGGACGGGUGAGUAAUGUGUGAGCAACCUGCCUUUCAGAGGGGGACAACAGUUGGAAACGACUGCUAAUACCGCAUAAUGUAUUUAAAGGGCAUCCUUUUGAUACCAAAGGAGCAAUCCGCUGAAAGAUGGGCUCACAUCUGAUUAGCUAGUUGUGGGGUAACGGCCUACCAAGGCUGCGAUCAGUAGCCGGACUGAGAGGUUGAACGGCCACAUUGGGACUGAGAUACGGCCCAGACUCCUACGGGAGGCAGCAGUGGGGAAUAUUGGGCAAUGGGCGAAAGCCUCGACCCAGCAACGCCGCGUGAAGGAAGAAGGUCUUCGGAUUGUAAACUUCUUUUAUGAGGGACGAAGGACGUGACGGUACCUCAUGAAUAAGCCACGGCUAACUACGUGCCAGCCGCGGC
RNAcentral lists this ribosomal RNA (504 nucleotides) under uncultured bacterium. Its description in RNAcentral is "bacterial SSU rRNA". It matches the Rfam family "Bacterial small subunit ribosomal RNA", at positions 17 to 518 of the family's 1533-position model. The record is from RNAcentral.